CGUAUGCAACCUACCUUUAACUGGGGGAUAGCUCAGAGAAAUCUGAAUUAAUACCGCAUAAUAUUAUGAAGUGGCAUCACUUUAUAAUCAAAACUCUGGUGGUUAAAGAUGGGCAUGCGUGACAUUAGCUUGUUGGUGAGGUAACGGCUCACCAAGGCUACGAUGUCUAGGGGGUCUGAGAGGAUGAUCCCCCACACUGGUACUGAGACACGGACCAG
Molecule: ribosomal RNA, 218 nt
Filed under: uncultured bacterium
Lineage: Bacteria
Description: partial 16S ribosomal RNA
Rfam family: Bacterial small subunit ribosomal RNA
Source: RNAcentral